RNAcentral lists this ribosomal RNA (253 nucleotides) under uncultured bacterium. RNAcentral describes it as "partial 16S ribosomal RNA". It matches the Rfam family "Bacterial small subunit ribosomal RNA", at positions 524 to 776 of the family's 1533-position model. The record is from RNAcentral.
UACGUAGGGUGCGAGCGUUAAUCGGAAUUACUGGGCGUAAAGCGUGCGCAGGCGGUUCGUUGUGUCGGCGGUGAAAGCCCGGGGCUCAACUCCGGAAUUGCCUUUAAGACUGCAUCGCUAGAAUUGUGGAGAGGUAAGUGGAAUUCCGAGUGUAGAGGUGAAAUUCGUAGAUAUUCGGAAGAACACCAGUGGCGAAGGCGGCUCACUGGCCCGAUACUGACGCUGAGGCACGAAAGCGUGGGGAGCAAACAGG